CUACGUGCCAGCAGCCGCGGUAAUACGGAAGGUCCGGGCGUUAUCCGGAUUUAUUGGGUUUAAAGGGAGCGUAGGCUGGAGAUUAAGUGUGUUGUGAAAUGUAGACGCUCAACGUCUGACUUGCAGCGCAUACUGGUUUCCUUGAGUACGCACAACGUUGGCGGAAUUCGUCGUGUAGCGGUGAAAUGCUUAGAUAUGACGAAGAACUCCGAUUGCGAAGGCAGCUGACGGGAGCGCAACUGACGCUGAAGCUCGAAGGUGCGGGUAUCGAACAGGAUUAGAUACCCUGGUAGUCCGCACAGUAAACGAUGGAUGCCCGCUGUUGGUACCUGGUAUCAGCGGCUAAGCGAAAGCAUUAAGCAUCCCACCUGGGGAGUACGCCGGCAACGGUGAAACUCAAAGGAAUUGACGGGGGCCCGCACAAGCGGAGGAACAUGUGGUUUAAUUCGAUGAUACGCGAGGAACCUUACCCGGGCUUGAAUUGCAGUCGCUGCCCACAGAGA
RNAcentral lists this ribosomal RNA (503 nucleotides) under uncultured bacterium. Its description in RNAcentral is "bacterial SSU rRNA". It matches the Rfam family "Bacterial small subunit ribosomal RNA", at positions 501 to 1006 of the family's 1533-position model. The record is from RNAcentral.